Salvator merianae (Argentine black and white tegu) is the source of this 2432-nucleotide long non-coding RNA. Lineage: Eukaryota; Metazoa; Chordata; Lepidosauria; Squamata; Teiidae. The record is from Ensembl.
GAGCGAAUCCCCUCUUGGAUAUUUUGUUUUCUCAUGCCCUCCUUCCUUCCCAACCAGCUGCACAGGCAGAGCCGAGGCUGCUUGGCCCUAACUAUCUUGGCAUCGAGUCAAAAGCUGAUAAGCAUUUGGGCGAGACAGCUCAACUGCUGUGCUGGAAGAAAAACAGCUGCCAUGAUCGCGGCUUGAUUGAGAGCGCAGCUUCUGCACACACACACACACACACAUUGCUAAGACGGGAGACAGCAAAAUGCCCGAGGAUCCAGCUCUUGCAGAAGCAAUGAGCAGCUCGCUUUCUCUUCUAUAGGAUCUGCAGCACAUGCUCCUUUGUGCCUCCCCCCCCCCGUGUGUGUGGGAGAGAGAGAGACGGGGGGGCGGGCGCCUCUCCUCUUCUACCCCACCCUGCCCCCAUCCAUCACUCCAGCAAACCCGGGGAAUCAUGCCAAAAGCCCCUCGCUAGUCACACCAAGUAUAUUUCUGUCUAUAAAAAGAUCCCUUUGAUACUCUUUCUUCCGCUCUUGUAGACUACGCAAAGCAAUGAAGAUUCGUCUAUUCCUUCCAAGAAACAAAAUCCCUCACAGCACCAGCUAUAUUGUAUUAUCUUCCCCACCCGGCAUCGGCAAAAAGGGAGAAGCGGCUGCUCACAUGCAAACACAUAUGCGCAGGCAUACUUGUUCUUUCUCUUUCCCAAGUUUUGGCUUUUUCCAUUUGUGGCCGAUCACUGUAACGCUGUUGUAAAACAACUUCCUGCCCCCCUUGGCUCAAGUUCCUGGAGCUAUGUUCUCAGCAAAACUUUUUUCUUCUUUGCUGGAGAAGCAUUGCAUCCUCCCCAAGCAAACUUCUACCCGGCCUGCCAACAAGUUUGGGAAGGGGAGGGAGAGGNAUGCUGCAGUCUCCUAAUACGAACUUGCCGAUCAUCGAUGCUUAAGAAUAUUGAGCAAGCGACGUCUGUAUUACAACUGGAUGAAGAAAACUGUGAACUUUUUNUUAAAGUCAAAUUUUUAGAAGAAAAACUCAUUUUAGAUUCAUGAAUGCCAUUGUUUCAGCUUUCAAGCAGGUCAGUGCAAAAGGCAGCACUUGGAAGCAUUCUGGUGCACAGUGGAUCACCGCACAGCUUGGAAGGAUGAAAGGAAGGCUUCAGAUGGCUUGAGCUCUGCUCCUACUCACCCUCCAUGAAAGAGUAUUCCUAUAAAGUAGCAAACAAAUGUAAUCCCUGUCACUGUUGUGGAAAAUCCCGAAGUACAGAAUGUAGAUGUUUUAAGUCCUGAAAUACCAAACUAGUGGUUUGAUCAAACCUAGCAGCUUGAUCUGACAGUGGUCAACAGGAUGCCUCUGGAAAGCCAGGAUGUAACAGGACUGCCUUUACUUUCAUUCCCUAGUUUAAAUCAUUUACAGAGGCAGUGGGAAAACUAUGGUCUUGUGUGAAUGAAAAAGCACAUUGGCUUUCUAAAAUGUUCUCCGGUGGGAUAACAUUGUAGCAUGUGCACAGGGGAUAGAUAUUUAAAGAAGGGUGUUUAAAGAUUAUUAGUGUUUUGUUUUUCUGCUGUGUUUAAAUAUAUUUAUUAAAAAUUUGUUCAUGUCCUUGGUUAUUUCAUAGUGUACUUAACAAGUUUCUUGGGACUGUUGGGGAAAGAUAGAUAAUAAGUUUCAGCUGAUGAUUUGCUGCUUCUGUCACAUGUGAUUUCUAAUUCUAGGGGCAAACAUUAUUCAUUGUGGUCCAGCAGCUUUAAAAAAAAAAUCUGGAAAAACACUAUAAAUUGCUUUUCCUUCAUAUCUUACACAGAAAAAUAGGAACUGUUUUUGUGUAGUUUGGACAACGAGGUCUACUUUAGUUUCAGGCUUAUGUACAACUAAAAAUUAAAUCCAGAAUACAUGACCUUGCCCCAUACACUGCAGGAAAAUACUAUACUUUUUCUUUUGAGGGGAAGCAUUCUUCUCUAAAAGAUACAACCAUUGGCGCUGCUAACAGAACUGUGAUCAGUUUUUGUUGUCGAUGAUGACUGCAUCUAUGAAUGGCUUUAUACCAUCACUAAAACAGACAGANGCUAGCUCCAAAAACCUUAAGCCGUAUAAUUUUGAGCCUUCAUUUCAGCAGUAAUUACACUAACUAAAGUACACAUUUGACGAAAUUAAUUUUUUUGCAAUGUAAACCUCUCAACAGUUACCUGUACUUUCUUUUAUCCUGUUUCAUUGUGUCAUGUGCAGAAAGCAGCAUUAAUCAGAGCAAAAAUACUUUUAUGAAAAUCACAGGAGUUCUGUUGCUUUCUAGAAGAAUUGGUAUCUAACAAGUGGUGGGUAAUUUUAAUUUGAUAGACUUCCCUGGCAAAUAAGCUAGAGUUCAGUGCUUCUAAGUCUAUUUGAUUUCAGCCAGGAAGAGCUAUCUAUAAUUUUUGCUAUUAAAUAAAUGUGGCAUCAUGAUUAGUAUUUUUAUUGUC